CACGUAGGGCGCAAGCGUUGUCCGGAAUUAUUGGGCGUAAAGAGCUCGUAGGCGGUCUGUUACGUCUGCUGUGAAAACCCAGGGCUUAACCCUGGGCUUGCAGUGGAUACGGGCAGACUAGAGGCAGGUAGGGGAGAAUGGAAUUCCCGGUGUAGCGGUGAAAUGCGCAGAUAUCAGGAGGAACACCGGUGGCGAAGGCGGAUCUCUGGGCCUGUCCUGACGCUGAGGCGCGAAAGCUAGGGGAGCGAACAGG
RNAcentral lists this ribosomal RNA (253 nucleotides) under uncultured bacterium. RNAcentral describes it as "partial 16S ribosomal RNA". It matches the Rfam family "Bacterial small subunit ribosomal RNA", at positions 524 to 776 of the family's 1533-position model. The record is from RNAcentral.